RNAcentral lists this ribosomal RNA (450 nucleotides) under uncultured bacterium. RNAcentral describes it as "partial 16S ribosomal RNA". It matches the Rfam family "Bacterial small subunit ribosomal RNA", at positions 354 to 796 of the family's 1533-position model. The record is from RNAcentral.
GUGGGGAAUCUUCCGCAAUGGACGAAAGUCUGACGGAGCAACGCCGCGUGAGUGAUGAAGGUCUUCGGAUUGUAAAGCUCUGUUAAUCGGGACGAAAGAGCCUAGUGUGAAUAAUGCUAGGAAGUGACGGUACCGGAAUAGAAAGCCACGGCUAACUACGUGCCAGCAGCCGCGGUAAUACGUAGGUGGCAAGCGUUGUCCGGAAUUAUUGGGCGUAAAGCGCGCACAGGCGGAUCUGCCAGUUGGUCCUAAAAGUGCGGGGCUUAACCCCGUGAUGGGAUGGAAACUACAGAUCUGGAGUAUCGGGGAGGAAAGUGGAAUUCCUGGUGUAGCGGUGAAAUGCGUAGAUAUUAGGAAGAACACCAGUGGCGAAGGCGACUUUCUGGACGAAAACUGACGCUGAGGCGCGAAAGCCAGGGGAGCGAACGGGAUUAGAUACCCUAGUAGUCC